RNAcentral lists this transfer RNA (74 nucleotides) under Bos taurus (domestic cattle). It matches the Rfam family "tRNA". From Rfam's summary of the family: Transfer RNA (tRNA) molecules are approximately 80 nucleotides in length. Their secondary structure includes four short double-helical elements and three loops (D, anti-codon, and T loops). Further hydrogen bonds mediate the characteristic L-shaped molecular structure. tRNAs have two regions of fundamental functional importance: the anti-codon, which is responsible for specific mRNA codon recognition, and the 3' end, to which the tRNAs corresponding amino acid is attached (by aminoacyl-tRNA synthetases). tRNAs cope with the degeneracy of the genetic code in two manners: having more than one tRNA (with a specific anti-codon) for a particular amino acid; and 'wobble' base-pairing, i.e. permitting non-standard base-pairing at the 3rd anti-codon position. RNAcentral also lists the same sequence under 4 other names. Lineage: Eukaryota; Metazoa; Chordata; Mammalia; Artiodactyla; Bovidae. The record is from Rfam by way of RNAcentral.
UCCCCAGUGGUCCAGUGGCUAAGACUCUGCGCUCCCAAUGAAGGGAGGCCCAGGUUCAAUUCCUGGUCAGGGAA